Molecule: ribosomal RNA, 497 nt
Filed under: uncultured bacterium
Lineage: Bacteria
Description: partial 16S ribosomal RNA
Rfam family: Bacterial small subunit ribosomal RNA
Source: RNAcentral
GAUGAACGCUGGCGGCGUGCCUAAUACAUGCAAGUCGAGCGAACGGACGAGAAGCUUGCUUCUCUGAUGUUAGCGGCGGACGGGUGAGUAACACGUGGAUAACCUACCUAUAAGACUGGGAUAACUUCGGGAAACCGGAGCUAAUACCGGAUAAUAUUUUGAACCGCAUGGUUCAAAAGUGAAAGACGGUCUUGCUGUCACUUAUAGAUGGAUCCGCGCUGCAUUAGCUAGUUGGUAAGGUAACGGCUUACCAAGGCAACGAUGCAUAGCCGACCUGAGAGGGUGAUCGGCCACACUGGAACUGAGACACGGUCCAGACUCCUACGGGAGGCAGCAGUAGGGAGUCUUCCGCAAUGGGCGAAAGCCUGACGGAGCAACGCCGCGUGAGUGGUGAAGGUCUUCGGAUCGUAAAACUCUGUUAUUAGGGAAGAACAUAUGUGUAAGUAACUGUGCACAUCUCGACGGUACCUAAUCAGAAAGCCACGGCUAACUACGUG